CAGUCCACACCACCCCAGAUUACUACCAGUCAUCCAUGACAUGGAUGGGUCCUUGGCACACAGACCUGUAAGCACCGAAAAAAGCAUGAAGCCAUGGUGUCGCUGUCUAUACCCUGAACCUGAAAAGGGGGUCUUGGAGUUUGGACAAUCAGCAGAUGAAGAUGCCACCAUAGGUCCAUGACAUGGUGGCGACCAGCUUCACACCAGGAUCGGACACUUCAAGAAGAAGAGGCAGGUUCCUCCGUCUCUUCUCACUACUGGACAUGGCGUUACCGGACUCUUCGCAGUCAGAUAUAUCAUCUGCUGCAUCAAAAGGCAGAUUCCGGGCUCAGGAUCUGAUAUCACAGUUUAACAGACUUUCUGCAGUCAGACCCGUUCACAGAACAACUUAAUAUUCUGCUGCAGCUUCCUCAUACUGAGCCAUGGAAUUGACAUAAAGAACGUAGUAAUGACAAUGCUUGAUGUUUCUAUAUACAUGGCAGCUGAUAAGACAGGGGUGGGAAGCAUUCUUGGAGAACCUGUAGCAGGACCUCAAAAUGUGUGAUCACCUUCAAAUUAAAUUCGUAGGACAACAUCCUGUGGCAGUAGUAGAGUGGCCAUGAACUGAGGUUGGGAACAUUAUUCUCGUGGGAAUCUGUCACGGUCCCUCAGGUGACUGAUGUUAGGAAAUCAAGGAGAUUGGCUGAGCGUGGAGGAAUCUAACAGCCUCCUUGA
Long non-coding RNA from Bufo gargarizans (Asiatic toad), 714 nucleotides. RefSeq lists it as uncharacterized. Lineage: Eukaryota; Metazoa; Chordata; Amphibia; Anura; Bufonidae. The transcript has 3 exons. The record is from RefSeq and is a predicted model, not a curated record.